GACGGAUGGGGCUAGCGUUGUUCGGAAUUACUGGGCGUAAAGGGCGCGUAGGCGGCCAAUUAAGUUAGACGUGAAAGCCCUGGGCUCAACCUAGGAACUGCGUUUAAUACUGGUUGGCUAGAGUAUGGUAGAGGAAAGCGGAAUUCCUAGUGUAGAGGUGAAAUUCGUAGAUAUUAGGAAGAACACCAGAGGCGAAGGCGGCUUUCUGGGCCAUUACUGACGCUGAGGCGCGAAAGCGUGGGGAGCAAACAGG
This 253-nucleotide ribosomal RNA is filed under the name uncultured bacterium. Its description in RNAcentral is "partial 16S ribosomal RNA". It matches the Rfam family "Bacterial small subunit ribosomal RNA", at positions 524 to 776 of the family's 1533-position model. The record is from RNAcentral.